GCACCGCGCACAGGCUGUGCCAAAGUCCACAGGCACCCUUCGGCCUCCAUCAUCGCGCCCUCUUCACAGAUGAGCAAACGGAGGCCAGACGUCACCGGCAGGCGGCGCUGCGGUGCGCGAGGCCUCGCACCUGCACGGGAAGCAGCGGAGAGGACGCAGGCACUCCUGAUACUUCCCAUGGUUGAAACAGAAAUGGGUCUCCUGCCAGUGAACCCAAGAGGAUGAGGAAGUUGGUUUACCACCUUGAUCUUAUUUUUUCCAGUAUUUUUCCAACUUGCUACAGUAACAGAACCUUUGGUCCAGAGCCUGGGAUGUUGCCUUUUGCCCACUGGAAUUCCCAUCUUGGAAGAGUAAGCGCAGGGGAUUGUCCAGACAGCCAGGAGGCCAGCGAAGCCAAGUCCUUCAGUACAGCCUGGGAGCCUCCAGGAAGCUGUUAGGAGUUGCCAUGAUGGGUGCAUUUGGACUCACAGAAUCUGCCUUCCAAUCUCAGUGCUGCUUCUACUCCUUUGCUACCUUAGGUCUUUGAAGACAGGUCCAUACCUUGGGUGUUUGUAUUUGGACAACCACAGACAUUGCCAAGAAAUGUAUCUGUUCUACUUGCACACCUUCACCACCUGGAUGCUGCUUGAGGACACAGAUCUGGUCCAUCAGAUUUCUCUCUGUACUCCUCUCUAUAUUUCGCCAUAUUUGAUAUAGACCCAUCAAUGGCUCCCUAGAAUAAAAUCUCAACUCUUCACUGUGCCCACAGCCCCAGUGACCUUGCCACUUCCAUCAGAGCCCUCACACCAGUGCCCAGACAUACAGACUGACCUCCUGACCAUCCCCCAGAUGUGCUAAGGCCGGUUCUGCUUCUGGACUUCUGAACAGACAUGUUUGGUAAACCCAAACAUUUCAGAUGGUGAAUAGCUCUGAAAGCAAAGUAAGACAGGGUAGGGCAGGAAGGACUUCCAGCAAAGUCACCCCAGGCUGGCCCCUUUC
RNAcentral lists this long non-coding RNA (978 nucleotides) under Homo sapiens (human). RNAcentral describes it as "HSALNT0152282". The record is from RNAcentral. Lineage: Eukaryota; Metazoa; Chordata; Mammalia; Primates; Hominidae.